GGGGAUGAUCGGUUUCGACAGGGUACUUUGUGCCUGGAGGAAGCGGGUCGUGAAUGUAGCGUCAACACGUAAAUGUCCGCUGCAAAAAAUAAGUGCUAAAUCAUCACGCACUGACUUUGCCCUAGCCGCUUAAUAGCGCCUAGCCCGAAGUCCGUCGGUCCAGACCUGAUUUCAAUCUGGUUUCCGGCGUCAUUUAGAAAUCUUGCUGGGUAGUUACGCCUUAGGGCUACCCGGGACUCAAACUCAGGCUGGGCUCGUCGGUUAUGUCGCUUCAAGCUAGCACCGGGGCCAAGUAGAACCUUAUUGAAGCUACACCCGUAGAAGAUCCAGAAUCAGUUCUUUGGACGGGGGUUCAAUUCCCCCCAUCUCCACAA
RNAcentral lists this transfer-messenger RNA (374 nucleotides) under Microbacteriaceae. Its description in RNAcentral is "Rhodoluna planktonica Standard tmRNA". It matches the Rfam family "transfer-messenger RNA". Rfam says of the family: Bacterial tmRNA, also known as 10Sa RNA or SsrA, is named for its dual tRNA and mRNA-like properties. Its role is to liberate the mRNA from a stalled ribosome. The record is from RNAcentral. Lineage: Bacteria; Bacillati; Actinomycetota; Actinomycetes; Micrococcales. RNAcentral also lists the same sequence under 1 other name.